AGGACGAACGCUGGCGGCGUGCUUAAACACAUGCAAGUCGAGCGAGGCCCUUCCUUCGGGAAGGUGCCCUAGCGGCGAACGGGUGAGUAACACGUGGGCAACCUGCCCCUAGCACUGGGAUAAGCCCGGGAAACCGGGUCUAAUACCGGAUAUGACCUUCGAGGGCAUCCUUGAAGGUGUAAAGGAUUCUGGCUAGGGAUGGGCCCGCGGCCUAUCAGCUUGUUGGUGGGGUAAUGGCCUACCAAGGCGACGACGGGUAGCCGGCCUGAGAGGGCGACCGGCCACACUGGGACUGAGACACGGCCCAGACUCCUACGGGAGGCAGCAGUGGGAAUCUUGCACAAUGGGCGAAAGCCUGAUGCAGCGACGCCGCGUGAGGGAUGACUGCCUUCGGGUUGUAAACCUCUUUCAGCAGGACGAAGCGAAAAGUCGACGGUACCUGCAGAAGAAGCACCGCAACACGCGCCAGCAGCCGC
Molecule: ribosomal RNA, 476 nt
Filed under: uncultured bacterium
Lineage: Bacteria
Description: SSU rRNA
Rfam family: Bacterial small subunit ribosomal RNA
Source: RNAcentral